AAGCGGAGGAAAAGAAACCAACAGGGAUUGCCUUAGUAACGGCGAGUGAAGCGGCAAAAGCUCAAAUUUGAAAUCUGGCACCUUCGGUGUCCGAGUUGUAAUUUGAAGAAGGUAACUUUGGAGUCAGCUCUUGUCUAUGUUCCUUGGAACAGGACGUCACAGAGGGUGAGAAUCCCGUGCGAUGAGAUGUCUGAUUCUAUGUAAAGUGCUUUCGAAGAGUCGAGUUGUUUGGGAAUGCAGCUCUAAGUGGGUGGUAAAUUCCAUCUAAAGCUAAAUAUUGGCGAGAGACCGAUAGCGAACAAGUACAGUGAUGGAAAGAUGAAAAGAACUUUGAAAAGAGAGUGAAAAAGUACGUGAAAUUGUUGAAAGGGAAGGGUUUGAGAUCAGACUUGGUAUUUUGUAUGUCUUGCUUUCGGGUGGGGCCUCUACAGUUUACUGGGCCAGCAUCGGUUUGGAUGGUAGGAUAAUGACAUUGGAAUGUGGCACCACUUCGGUGGUGUGUUAUAGACUUUGUUGAUACUGCCUGUCUAGACCGAGGACUGCGUCUUUGACUAGGAUGCUGGCAUAAUGAUCCUAAACCGCCCGUCUU
RNAcentral lists this ribosomal RNA (589 nucleotides) under Scheffersomyces stipitis. RNAcentral's name for it is "eukaryotic LSU rRNA". It matches the Rfam family "Eukaryotic large subunit ribosomal RNA", at positions 48 to 655 of the family's 3401-position model. The record is from RNAcentral. Lineage: Eukaryota; Fungi; Ascomycota; Pichiomycetes; Serinales; Debaryomycetaceae.